Molecule: non-coding RNA, 96 nt
Organism: Geotrichum bryndzae
Lineage: Eukaryota; Fungi; Ascomycota; Dipodascomycetes; Dipodascales; Dipodascaceae
Source: the annotation of a GenBank genome assembly
GUUACAGUGGCCGAGUGGUUAAGGCGAUGCCCUGCUAUCUAUCAGCAGUCCAGGCAUUGGGUUUUACCUGCGCAGGUUCGAAUCCUGUCUGUGACG